GAAUAGGGCGUUUAGUAUUUGGUCGUAGACCCGAAACCAGGUGAUCUACCCUUGGUCAGGUUGAAGUUCAGGUAACACUGAAUGGAGGACCGAACCGACUUACGUUGAAAAGUGAGCGGAUGAACUGAGGGUAGCGGAGAAAUUCCAAUCGAACCUGGAGAUAGCUGGUUCUCUCCGAAAUAGCUUUAGGGCUAGCCUCAAGUGAUGAUUAUUGGAGGUAGAGCACUGUUUGGACGAGGGGCCCCUCUCGGGUUACCGAAUUCAGACAAACUCCGAAUGCCAAUUAAUUUAACUUGGGAGUCAGAACAUGGGUGAUAAGGUCCGUGUUCGAAAGGGAAACAGCCCAGACCACCAGCUAAGGUCCCAAAAUAUAUGUUAAGUGGAAAAGGAUGUGGCGUUGCCCAGACAACUAGGAUGUUGGCUUAGAAGCAGCCAUCAUUUAAAGAGUGCGUAAUAGCUCACUAGUCGAGUGACACUGCGCCGAAAAUGUACCGGGGCUAAACAUAUUACCGAAGCUGUGGAUUGUCCUUUGGACAAUGGUAGGAGAGCGUUCU
This 554-nucleotide ribosomal RNA is filed under the name Staphylococcus aureus. RNAcentral describes it as "partial 23S ribosomal RNA". It matches the Rfam family "Bacterial large subunit ribosomal RNA", at positions 685 to 1242 of the family's 2925-position model. The record is from RNAcentral. Lineage: Bacteria; Bacillati; Bacillota; Bacilli; Caryophanales; Staphylococcaceae.